GACGAACGCUGGCGGCGUGCCUAAUACAUGCAAGUUGAGCGAUGAAGAUUGGUGCUUGCACCCAUUUGAAGAGCAGCGAACGGGUGAGUAACGCGUGGGGAAUCUGCCUUUGAGCGGGGGACAACAUUUGGAAACGAAUGCUAAUACCGCAUAAUAACUUUAAACAUAAGUUUUAAGUUUGAAAGAUGCAAUUGCAUCACUCAAAGAUGAUCCCGCGUUGUAUUAGCUAGUUGGUGAGGUAAAGGCUCACCAAGGCGAUGAUACAUAGCCGACCUGAGAGGGUGAUCGGCCACAUUGGGACUGAGACACGGCCCAAACUCCUACGGGAGGCAGCAGUAGGGAAUCUUCGGCAAUGGACGAAAGUCUGACCGAGCAACGCCGCGUGAGUGAAGAAGGUUGUCGGAUCGUAAAACUCUGUUGGUAGAGAAGAACGUUGGUGAGAGUGGAAAGCUCAUCAAGUGACGGUAACUACCCAGAAAGGGACGGCUAACUACGUG
This 497-nucleotide ribosomal RNA is filed under the name uncultured bacterium. Its description in RNAcentral is "partial 16S ribosomal RNA". It matches the Rfam family "Bacterial small subunit ribosomal RNA", at positions 28 to 507 of the family's 1533-position model. The record is from RNAcentral.